Molecule: transfer RNA, 74 nt
Filed under: Sphingomicrobium aestuariivivum
Lineage: Bacteria; Pseudomonadati; Pseudomonadota; Alphaproteobacteria; Sphingomonadales; Sphingomicrobiaceae
Also listed under: 3 other names
Description: tRNA-Gly
Rfam family: tRNA
About the family: Transfer RNA (tRNA) molecules are approximately 80 nucleotides in length. Their secondary structure includes four short double-helical elements and three loops (D, anti-codon, and T loops).
Source: RNAcentral
GCGGGUAUAGUUCAACGGUAGAACACUAGCCUUCCAAGCUAGAUAUACGGGUUCGAUUCCCGUUACCCGCUCCA